CGCAUCCGGCGUUCUCUGCGUCUCUGCCUCUCCUCUGAAGCCUUCUUUCUCUCUCUUCCCUCUUCCUCCAGUGAUCUUCUCUCACACGUCCUGCCGUGUUGCUCCAGCUUGCGGACGUUGUCUUCUGCUUUGGUAUCUUCCCGUCGCCCUUCUGCAGCUCGCUGGUUUCUGCGUGCGUGCAUGAGCGGUGCGCCAACACGCUUGGCGUCAGAGCACAUCCACGUGAUUCAUCACCGGCCUGCCUCUGCCCUUUUCUCACCAUCACUACACCGCACCUGCCAGAGCCCGACACGGUGACGCGCCGCCGCCACCCAUCCCUACUCCCCCCCCCUUCUCUCCCCUCCCCUUUACGCACGCAUCUCCAGAGAUGUCCACGAUCAGCGGGCCCAAUGGCAAACCCGCCCAUGAGCCCGUCACCUCCGCCGCCCAAACCAACGCCGACCUGUAUGUGUUCCAUGAGAAGUAUUCGUGCGGCAACGUGUCCCAGACGGCGCUCGGUCGCCAGGAUGCCCUGGCUCUCAACAAGAACAGCAAAUCGCUCCGUGAAAGCUCGCGGAAGCUGAAGCGGAAGCGUCUGUGUGAGCUCCAGGAGUGGGAAUAUCAGGCAGCAACCGCACCGCGGCGCUGCGCGAACCCGGGCCCGGUCGGCCUGCUCGGCUUUGGCCUCUCGACGAUCCUGCUGAACCUGCACAACACCGGGAGCUUUCCGCUGUCGACGGUGAUCGUCGCCAUGGGCAUCUGCCUCGGCGGAGGUGCGCAGUUUAUCGCGGGUCUGCUCGAGUGGGUGCGCGGUAACACCUUCGCGUACGUCGCCUUCACCUCGUACGGCGCCUUCUGGCUGUCCCUCGUGUGCGUCUGGAUGCUGCCCAACACGGCCGCCGGCACCUCCAAGCUCGUGGAUCCAGCGAGCGAGUACUUCGUAGGCGUGUACCUCUUCUUGUGGGGCAUCUUCUCCUUCGUCAUGCUUCUGUGCACCAUCCGCAUGAACCUCGCCAUCUUUCUCGUGUUUCUCACCGUGACGCUGCUCUUCCUGAUGCUCGGCUGCAGCAGCAUGGCGAGCAGCGCCGUGGGGCUGCGUGCGGCCGGCUACGAGGGCAUCAUCUGCGGCUCCCUCGCCCUCUACCUCGCCUUUGCCGAGAUUCUGAACGAGAUGUGGGACCGCACAAUCCUGCCGGUGAUCCCGAUGACGCAGGUGCUCGGCUGGCUCGGCGCCAGCCCGGAGAAGGCGAGCGACAGUGCCGAGCUGGAGAACCACGAGCAGCUACCCAAGGGCAACUGAAGCGGUGAAGACAGUGUGCGCUUUAUGAAGAUGAAGGCACCGGUGCGGAGGAGGGAAAGGAGAGAGAGCUUUUCUGGAUGUCGCCCUAGACCCAGGCACAGAUACGCAGAUGCACUCAUGCACGUACACCAUCCAGCCCUCCCCCCCGUCCUCAGCUCGCUCGCUUUCUCCUUUGCUCGUGCGUAGCACCGUGCAUACGUGCGCAGCGCGUGCGUUGCCUUACCCCUCUUCUUCGGUUUCGGACCCUUCUUGGGCAGCCCGACUCCCUUCCGCCAUCUCUGUCGUCUGUGACGACGAAACCCACUUGCUGGCUCUUCGGCGUCGUCAUGCAUGCCCGUGCCACAGGGUGCAGGCUAACCGAGCCUUCUCUUCACGCCACGCCACGCUCUCUGUGAGCUCGUGUACCUUCCUCUGUCGCUCUCUCGCACGCACACAGACCUACCCUGUUACCCAUUGAGAUAUAGCGGUAGAUGUGUGCGUCUAUCUAUUCGGGCCUGUGCGUGUGCGUGUGUGGACGCGCCCUCGCGUUUGUUUUUUACUUUUAUGGUUUCUGCCAUUCUCUGCGCGUUCUUGUGCUCGUUGUUGUCUUCUCGCGUGUGGCUGGAUGCGUCCUGGCGCGUCUGGUGAAGCUGCGUGGCAUUGCGCGUUCACGUAGCCCUCAGUAGCACACACACACACACACACACACGCACAGGCACAGGCUCACCUGGUACUGCAUUCGGGAGCUGACGCGAGGCGCGGAAAAGAUCCGCCUUCUUCUCUCGAGACCACACCUCCUCCCUCUCUCUUGCUCCUUGCGUGUAAUGCCGGCAUUGUUGUUCCUUCGCGGCUUGCCGUUCUCUCAUGUCGCGGUGCUACGCCCGUUUUUUUUUUGGUGGGAGGGGGGGGGGUUCUGCAUGCGCGCCAUCUACCGCUGUCGCUAGAACCAUCCACCUUCGCGCAUCCACGAGACAUCGUGUGCGUCUCUUCUUUUCAUUUGCCCUUCAUAGAGGGCAGCGUGGCAGCGCACUGAAAGCGGAGCGGAGAAGUGGCCGUCGUCUCGCUCACAUGGGCAAGUGAGGCACCGAGGUUAGCGGUGGGUGCGGUCGAUAUAGCACACGCAUGCUCGAGAGACCUCUGAGACGAAGAGGAGGAGGAGGAGGGGGAUUGGUAGGUGGGGGAGACGGGGGGGAUCGCCGCGCAGUACGGCGUGCCAUCCUUCUGCCCUGCUCCAUCUUUUUUUUUGGAGCUCUUUUGCUUUCUUGUGGGUUAGCGUUGCCGAUGGCCGUUCUGUUUUCGUGCGUGUGCUCGCGCGCGCUCUCCGGCUCCUGCGAGAGAGGAGGGAGGGAGGGAGGGAGGGAGGGAGCGCGAGCGCGAGCGCGAGCGAGAGACGGAGCGCGAAAGGGGCGAAGAACAAUGCGAGCGGUGCCGCGCACAGGGGGGGGGAGCAUAGCCAGUGGAGAUGGUGGUGGCCCUUGGGGAACGAAAGAGGCAACAGGUACGACACAGCGGUACCUUUCUCCUGCGGCCCCUCCCCCUCCCCCUCCCUCUGCCUCUCUCUCUCUAAACCCCUACGCGCACGCACGCCGACGCCGAGCUACGAGCAACGCCCUCAUGCCUUCGCCCUUCCUCGUUGCUUCAUCAUCAGUGUGUUCCCCUGUUUUAGUUCGUGUGCACGUACUUGCGCGUCUAUAUAUAUAUAAUCUUUUUUGUUGUUUUGCCUUGAUCCCUUGCAAGCGUCUUCCUCUUCCUUUCUUCACCCCCUCCCCCCCCCUCCCCCACAUACAGCACACACAAACACCCCCUCCUCCUUCGACGUUGCUGCUCUCGCGAAUACAGAUAAGGUAUAGGUAUGUUAUAUAUUGUGUGCAGGGAGGAGGCGGGGGCGGGCUCUUCUCCUGGCCAUAAACCCCACCAGCCCUUCCCCUCCCCUCCCAAGCGAAACUAAAAACGUGCAUCCUCACGGCAUGUGUGAAGAGGGGGACGGUGUGCAAGACGUACCACACGCACACGUCCGUGUGCAUGUGUGUGUGUGUGUGUUGGUCGUGACGUGUCCUCUCUCUUCCCCUUAGCCCUUACCUCGCCGCUGUCGUUGUCCUCGGUGCGUGUCUUGGAAAAAUAUAGAUAUAUGGUGUGCACAUGCAUACAUAUGUAUGCAUGUGUUUGCCUCCCAAUGCUCAGCCUGCUUCCUCCGUUUGCUUUACGUUUGCUUUUUCGCGCGCGCGCGUGUGUGUGUGUGUGUGUGUGUGUGUGUGCACGCGCGAUGCAUAGCCAAGAAAAAAAAAACGAAGCGCGCAAAUUCGUUUCCUUUCCUUUCUGUUUGCCUUCAAGACG
This 3592-nucleotide unclassified non-coding RNA is filed under the name Leishmania donovani. RNAcentral's name for it is "gene:LdHU3.03.0390(CDS-product:GPR1/FUN34/yaaH_fa mily_putative)". Lineage: Eukaryota; Euglenozoa; Kinetoplastea; Trypanosomatida; Trypanosomatidae. The record is from RNAcentral.